This 190-nucleotide ribosomal RNA is filed under the name Mytilus edulis (blue mussel). RNAcentral describes it as "partial ribosomal RNA". It matches the Rfam family "Eukaryotic large subunit ribosomal RNA", at positions 661 to 814 of the family's 3401-position model. Lineage: Eukaryota; Metazoa; Mollusca; Bivalvia; Mytilida; Mytilidae. The record is from RNAcentral.
ACGGACCAAGGAGUCUAACAUGUGCGCGAGUAUGGGGUUCUUUACGAAACCUAAAAGGCACAAUGAAAGUGAAGGCCAGCUCCGGUCGGCCCUAGGUAGGAUCCCCGGUCUCUCAAGCGGCCGGGGCGCACUACCGGCCCGUCCCGUCCCACAUCGUUGGUGGGGCGGAGCAAGAGCGUACACGUUGGGA